GCGUCGGUAAGGUGAUAUGAACCGUUAUAACCGGCGAUUUCCGAAUGGGGAAACCCAGUGUGUUUCGACACACUAUCAUUAACUGAAUCCAUAGGUUAAUGAGGCGAACCGGGGGAACUGAAACAUCUAAGUACCCCGAGGAAAAGAAAUCAACCGAGAUUCCCCCAGUAGCGGCGAGCGAACGGGGAGCAGCCCAGAGCCUGAAUCAGUAUGUGUGUUAGUGGAAGCGUCUGGAAAGGCGCGCGAUACAGGGUGACAGCCCCGUACACAAAAAUGCACAUGCUGUGAGCUCGAUGAGUAGGGCGGGACACGUGGUAUCCUGUCUGAAUAUGGGGGGACCAUCCUCCAAGGCUAAAUACUCCUGACUGACCGAUAGUGAACCAGUACCGUGAGGGAAAGGCGAAAAGAACCCCGGCGAGGGGAGUGAAAAAGAACCUGAAACCGUGUACGUACAAGCAGUGGGAGCACGCUUAGGCGUGUGACUGCGUACCUUUUGUAUAAUGGGUCAGCGACUUAUAUUCUGUAGCAAGGUUAACCGAAUAGGGGAGCCGAAGGGAAACCGAGUCUUAACUGGGCGUUAAGUUGCAGGGUAUAGACCCGAAACCCGGUGAUCUAGCCAUGGGCAGGUUGAAGGUUGGGUAACACUAACUGGAGGACCGAACCGACUAAUGUUGAAAAAUUAGCGGAUGACUUGUGGCUGGGGGUGAAAGGCCAAUCAAACCGGGAGAUAGCUGGUUCUCCCCGAAAGCUAUUUAGGUAGCGCCUCGUGAAUUCAUCUCCGGGGGUAGAGCACUGUUUCGGCAAGGGGGUCAUCCCGACUUACCAACCCGAUGCAAACUGCGAAUACCGGAGAAUGUUAUCACGGGAGACACACGGCGGGUGCUAACGUCCGUCGUGAAGAGGGAAACAACCCAGACCGCCAGCUAAGGUCCCAAAGUCAUGGUUAAGUGGGAAACGAUGUGGGAAGGCCCAGACAGCCAGGAUGUUGGCUUAGAAGCAGCCAUCAUUUAAAGAAAGCGUAAUAGCUCACUGGUCGAGUCGGCCUGCGCGGAAGAUGUAACGGGGCUAAACCAUGCAC
RNAcentral lists this ribosomal RNA (1078 nucleotides) under Escherichia coli. RNAcentral describes it as "partial 23S ribosomal RNA". It matches the Rfam family "Bacterial large subunit ribosomal RNA", at positions 75 to 1194 of the family's 2925-position model. The record is from RNAcentral. Lineage: Bacteria; Pseudomonadati; Pseudomonadota; Gammaproteobacteria; Enterobacterales; Enterobacteriaceae.